Molecule: ribosomal RNA, 396 nt
Filed under: uncultured bacterium
Lineage: Bacteria
Description: partial 16S ribosomal RNA
Rfam family: Bacterial small subunit ribosomal RNA
Source: RNAcentral
AUACGAAGGGUGCAAGCGUUAAUCGGAAUUACUGGGCGUAAAGCGCGCGUAGGUGGUUCAGCAAGUUGGAUGUGAAAGCCCCGGGCUCAACCUGGGAACUGCAUCCAAAACUACUGAGCUAGAGUACGGUAGAGGGUGGUGGAAUUUCCUGUGUAGCGGUGAAAUGCGUAGAUAUAGGAAGGAACACCAGUGGCGAAGGCGACCACCUGGACUGAUAGGGACACUGAGGUUCGAAAGAGUGGGUAGCAAACAGGAUUAGAUACCCAGGUAGUCCACGCCGUAAACGAUGUCAACUAGUUGUUGGGUUCCUUGAGAACUUAGUAACGAAGCUAACGCGAUAAGUUGACCGCCUGGGGAGUACGGCCGCAAGGUUAAAACUCAAAUGAAUUGACGGGG